UAUCACUUUUUACUGACAAAGUCACAUCCCAUUUUACUCUAUCAGAUGUAAGCUGUCGAACUCCUCUCUCUUUCACUUUCUCUCUUUCAACUCAAUUCUUAUCAUCUUUUUAUUUUCAUUUCAUACCGACAUUCGCGUGCAACUGCCACCACUGACCACUUCCUCCACCAGUACUCGUCGCCACUCGACACCAUAUUGUUCUGUCUGACGCAGCAGCAGCGCCUCCGGCCACCCUCCACGGACUGCGACUCAGAUAUUGAUUUGAAUCUUCUUCUUCCCUUGAAUUAAGACUCAGAUUGAGAUUUACAAAAAGUGCUUAAAAUGAAAGAUUCACCAAAAACUUUCAACAAUGAAAAAGAAUUGUCAGAAGGGACUCAAACUCCAAGAACUAUAACACAAGUUACCCCAAAUGGUUCUAUACUGUGGAUUCCUCAUUGUGAGUUUGAUAAAAAGCCAUUUGUUGGAAAUAUAUGAGUUGCUUAUGCUCAUGAGGAGGGACACUCAAGUUGUGUCUGAGUUUACAUGGAGAAAAUUAAAUUGUUGUUAGAACAAAAACGUUCACUGUCUUCUCCUCCUGUCCCUCUACCUGAUGUUCCUUCAACCUCAUCUACACCUUUUUCACAAACCCAAAGUUUUUUUUAUGAAUCCUACCGUGCUGAAUACAAUUGAUGAGAUUGUUGACACGGUUAAAUGGGUCACCUCUAUUCCAAGGAUGGUGAAUGAGGGUAUUGUUGUCGACGAGGGUAAUGUACAAGUGAAUGAGGGUGCUGAUUUUGUGGCUGAUGUACUGGGGGAUGUUGUUUUGGAUGAGGUAUUUGAAGAUGAUGUACUUGAUGUUGAAUUGGAUCAAGUUGUUAAUGAUGUGGCAAAUAAUGUCAUUGUUUUUGAAAGCCAUGGUUUUGAGAAUGUAUUGAUACACACAGGGCAAAGUGUUUCAUUCCUUUUAGAGGUGUGAAUGAUAAAUUUACGUAUGUUUUACAUCUAAUGAAAUCAAACAAAAAAUACAUGAGAAGUCUUGGUUCGUUGCUUCAAGAAUCA
Amaranthus tricolor (Joseph's coat) is the source of this 1038-nucleotide long non-coding RNA. RefSeq lists it as uncharacterized. The record is from RefSeq and is a predicted model, not a curated record. The transcript is spliced from 5 exons. NCBI's taxonomy places the organism in Eukaryota, Viridiplantae, Streptophyta, Magnoliopsida, Caryophyllales, Amaranthaceae.